UACGUAGGGUCCGAGCGUUGUCCGGAAUUACUGGGCGUAAAGAGCUCGUAGGUGGUUUGUCGCGUUGUUCGUGAAAACUCACAGCUCAACUGUGGGCGUGCGGUCGAUACGGGCAUCACUGGAGUUCGGCAGGGGAGACUGGAAUUCCUGGUGUAGCGGUGAAAUGCGCAGAUAUCAGGAGGAACACCGGUGGCGAAGGCGGGUCUCUGGGCCGAUACUGACGCUGAGGAGCGAAAGCGUGGGGAGCGAACAGG
This 254-nucleotide ribosomal RNA is filed under the name uncultured bacterium. RNAcentral's name for it is "partial 16S ribosomal RNA". It matches the Rfam family "Bacterial small subunit ribosomal RNA", at positions 524 to 776 of the family's 1533-position model. The record is from RNAcentral.